CUGCCUGUGCCAUAGCAGGACCCGUGCCCUCCAAUUCCAUCUCGUACCAUCUGCCUGUGCCAUAGCAGGACCCGUGCCCUCAAAUUCCAUCUCGUACCAUCUGCCUGUGCCAUAGCAGGACCCAUGAUCUCAAAUUCCAUCUCGUACCAUCUGCCUGUGCCAUAGCAGGACCCGUGCCCUCAAAUUCCAUCUCGUACCAUCUGCCUGUGCCAUAGCAGGACCCGUGCCCUCAAAUUCAGGCUCUUAACAUCUGCCUGUGCCAUAGCAGUACCCAAGCUCUCAAAUUCCAUCUCGUACCAUCUGCCUGUGCCAUAGCAGGGCCCGUG
RNAcentral lists this long non-coding RNA (326 nucleotides) under Pan troglodytes (chimpanzee). Its description in RNAcentral is "long non-coding RNA NONPTRT014392". Lineage: Eukaryota; Metazoa; Chordata; Mammalia; Primates; Hominidae. The record is from RNAcentral.